UUGCAUUAGAAUUAGAAUCUAACUAUACUAACAUUCCCCUAAUUAAUAUAAUUUUAACAAUU
RNAcentral lists this transfer RNA (62 nucleotides) under Nesticus silvestrii. RNAcentral describes it as "tRNA-Leu". Lineage: Eukaryota; Metazoa; Arthropoda; Arachnida; Araneae; Nesticidae. The record is from RNAcentral.